AAUGGGGGCAACCCUGAUCCAGCCAUGCCGCGUGCGGGAAGAAGGCCUUCGGGUUGUAAACCGCUUUCAGACGGAAAGAAACAGUACAAGCUAAUACCUUGUACGAAUGACGGUACCGUCAGAAGAAGCACCGGCUAACUACGUGCCAGCAGCCGCGGUAAUACGUAGGGUGCGAGCGUUAAUCGGAAUUACUGGGCGUAAAGAGUGCGCAGGCGGCUCUCUAAGACAGGUGUGAAAUCCCCGGGCUUAACCUGGGAAUGGCGCUUGUGACUGGAGAGCUAGAGUGUGGCAGAGGGGAAUGGAAUUCCUGGUGUAGCAGUGAAAUGCGUAGAUAUCAGGAGGAACACCGAUGGCGAAGGCAGUUCCCUGGGCCAACACUGACGCUCAUGCACGAAAGCGUGGGGAGCAAACAGGAUU
Molecule: ribosomal RNA, 417 nt
Filed under: uncultured beta proteobacterium
Lineage: Bacteria; Pseudomonadati; Pseudomonadota; Betaproteobacteria
Description: bacterial SSU rRNA
Rfam family: Bacterial small subunit ribosomal RNA
Source: RNAcentral